This 245-nucleotide long non-coding RNA is filed under the name Solanum tuberosum (potato). Its description in RNAcentral is "long non-coding RNA (STUB_LNC011272)". The record is from RNAcentral. Lineage: Eukaryota; Viridiplantae; Streptophyta; Magnoliopsida; Solanales; Solanaceae.
GGGCUACCGAUAAGGUUAUGUAGAUUGAUUUGGCACCUUCUGGGCUUAUGGGGGCCUAAGUAUGUGGUAUGUUGUUUGUACCUACCGGGCUUAUGGGGGCUUGGUUAGGUUGAUGUUUGAUCAUUAUUGUAUUUUAUUAGAUUCAGUAGUGGGUUGGCAUGCUUAUCUAAAUUUGAUUUCCUUACCUGAUUGCUUUUGGUAUAUUAUGAUACUUGCUCAUUUAGUCUACAACCUUUCAUACUCUG